UAUUUAUUUCGCCAUUGAACUUAGAGUAAUGAAAUACUCUAUAAUGUUUAUAGAGUAGAAAGCCCGAAUUAAAACAAUUAUCUAUUAAAAUGUAUUUAGUUGGUUCACUUGGCACUAAAAUUGGCCAAUGAUUUAUCAAAAUAUUUAUAUAAUAUACAUUAUAAUUUAUUUUUGAGGUUUCAAAUGCCAAAUCCACCUACAGUCUUCGCAGAUUCAUCAUGAUGACACCUACGAUGUUUUUCCUAAGCCUUUUAAUGUUAUUAUUUUUGAGCACAGAGGUAAACCCAUCAGUGGAGUUCAGGAACUUUAUUUGUCAAUCAUUCGAUAAGGACUUUUCAGACUUUGAAAAUUGUAUUUUAAAGUCUGUAAACAGGACUUAUAAAUAUUUAUCCCUAAAAGUCAAUCUUUUCCAGGUUCCAGUAACAAAAGUGAAGGUAAACUUUGGUCUCUACAAACGCUUCAAUGGAUACAAGCCAUUUUUAUACAAUAUGACAGUAGAUGCAAAUUUGUAAAUAAUCCAAAAUCAAACCCCGUGGCUCUAUACUUUUAUAGUGUGUUUAAAGAGUUCUCGAAUAUGAAUCACUCGUGCCCAUACAACCAUGAUGUUGUCGUGGAAAAACUCACAACAGAUAUAAUGUUUAACAGUUUCUCGAAAAUUCUUCCUUUCCCAGACGGAGAUUAUUUGAUAAAAAGUUAUUGGUUUGGCAAUGGAAAAAACAGAGUCGCGGUUGAAGUAUAUUUUUCGAUGAUGACAUAAAAUAUAAAUUACGAUUUAAACAAAAAUCGUAAUUAAAGUAUGCUUUAAUCAUAAUUAUAACUUUAAUAAAGCAUAUAUACAGAAAAAAAUAUGCAGAUUGUAUUUUUACUAAGUUUACGCUGAAGAAUAUCAAAAGGCAUCGAUUAUCGGCAUCGAACAUUUCGAUUUUUUCAUCGAUGUUUUUCCAUCUCUACCCAAAGAAGAGAUCUUCACUUUUUAUCGUUGGUAUAUUUGGUAUUCGUUGGUGUACUUCAUUGGACAUUUAGAAAUGGAACUUUUUUGGGUUGGAAUUUUUAGUCAGUCAGUCUU
Drosophila ananassae is the source of this 1066-nucleotide long non-coding RNA. RefSeq lists it as uncharacterized. The record is from RefSeq and is a predicted model, not a curated record. NCBI's taxonomy places the organism in Eukaryota, Metazoa, Arthropoda, Insecta, Diptera, Drosophilidae. The transcript is spliced from 4 exons.